GAGACCACAAUCCCGGUAGGGUUCCCUACGGACCCGGUCCGUCCACCAUCUCCCAGGAUAUCUAGUCAGGCUGACCACAUUAUACAAUUACCCAUUUACAUAAUCUUUCAUUCUCUUUUUCCCUCAGUCAGCAUUAUCAAUACACAUACAAACAAGUAAGACGAUAAUUUAUGGCAAACAGACAACAUACAGUAUCAAUAUCUCAAUCAUUCAAUCCAUAGUUAGUAAAAUAGUAAAAUAUGCACACGAAACUAUAAAAUGAAAACAUCAAACCUC
RNAcentral lists this long non-coding RNA (276 nucleotides) under Carica papaya (papaya). Its description in RNAcentral is "long non-coding RNA (CPAP_LNC014622)". The record is from RNAcentral. Lineage: Eukaryota; Viridiplantae; Streptophyta; Magnoliopsida; Brassicales; Caricaceae.